CUUCUCCUGGCUCUCUUGGUGUUAGCCAGCCACAUUCUCACAUGAGGGGUGAAAGCAGAGUCAAAACUCAGGCGUCUGGGCACUGACUGUCUCCAGCUUAAGAAAUCCCUUUCUUCUGUAGGUCUCCCUUUGAUUUCAAAAUGAUGGCUCUUUUUAUGCAUUGGGCCAUGAUCACCAAUUCAGUUCUUUUACCUUUGGCCAUCAGGACUCUUUGUUCACUGCAGUUUAUAAGAAUCCUCAGGCAUGGCCAAGAUGUUCUAGAAUCUCCUGGGACUGACUCAUCUUAACUCCUCUCCUACAUACCUAGGGCAUCUGCUAAGAGAGAGUUUGCUGGGAUUGUCAAGGACAUGGGGAGCUCGAUGUUUUUGGGGGGAGAAAGCUGAGUCAGUUCAACUAACAUUUACUGGGCACAUACAUUCCAAGCCCAGUGCCAGGGGCUGGGGGAGGGGUGAGGACACAGUCUCUGCCCACAACAACUUUCAACCCCACGCGGGUACAGACACAGACAGUUGCCAUAGUAAGUGCUAUGAUGCCCUCUCCUCCUGGAGACCUGGGGAUGCCUGAGCUGUCUCCAAGGGUGUGUAAGGUCAGUGGGAGAAGGGAGGGGCUCCAGGGAACUGCAGCGUGCAGGGAGUGGGUGAAGCAUCUCCGGUGGGAGGACCUGGGAGCUGUUAUUC
Molecule: long non-coding RNA, 677 nt
Filed under: Marmota monax (woodchuck)
Lineage: Eukaryota; Metazoa; Chordata; Mammalia; Rodentia; Sciuridae
Source: RNAcentral